GCAACGAUGAUUAGGGGUCCUGAGAGGGAGAUCCCCCACACUGGUACUGAGACACGGACCAGACUCCUACGGGAGGCAGCAGUGAGGAAUAUUGGUCAAUGGAGGCAACUCUGAACCAGCCAUGCCGCGUGCAGGAUGACGGUCCUAUGGAUUGUAAACUGCUUUUGUACAGGAAGAAACCUCCCUACGAGUAGGGACUUGACGGUACUGUAAGAAUAAGGAUCGGCUAACUCCGUGCCAGCAGCCGCGGUAAUACGGAGGAUCCGAGCGUUAUCCGGAAUUAUUGGGUUUAAAGGGUUCGUAGGCGGCUUUGUAAGUCAGUGGUGAAAUUUCCUAGCUUAACUAGGACACUGCCAUUGAUACUGCAGAGCUUGAAUAAUAUGGAAGUAACUAGAAUAUGUAGUGUAGCGGUGAAAUGCUUAGAUAUUACAUGGAAUACCAAUUGCGAAGGCAGGUUACUACGUAUUUAUUGACGCUGAUGAACGAAAGCGUGGGGAGCGAACAGGAUUAGAUACCCUGGUAGUCCACGCCGUAAACGAUGGAUACUAGCUGUUCGGAUUUCGGACUGAGUGGCUAAGCGAAAGUGAUAAGUAUCCCACCUGGGGAGUACGUUCGCAAGAAUGAAACUCAAAGGAAUUGACGGGGGCCCGCACAAGCGGUGGAGCAUGUGGUUUAAUUCGAUGAUACGCGAGGAACCUUACCAGGGCUUAAAUGUAGAUUGACAGAUUUGGAAACAGAUUUUUCUUCGGACAAUUUACAAGGUGCUGCAUGGUUGUCGUCAGCUCGUGCCGUGAGGUGUCAGGUUAAGUCCUAUAACGAGCGCAACCCCUAUUGUUAGUUACCAGCGGGUAGUGGCGGGGACUCUAGCAAGACUGCCGGGGCAAACCGUGAGGAAGGUGGGGAUGACGUCAAAUCAUCACGGCCCUUACGUCCUGGGCUACACACGUGCUACAAUGGCAAGUACAGAAAGCAGCUACCUGGCAACAGGAUGCGAAUCUCCAAAGCUUGUCUCAGUUCGGAUUGGAGUCUGCAACUGGACUCUAUGAAGCUGGAAUCGCUAGUAAUCGGAUAUCAGCC
RNAcentral lists this ribosomal RNA (1077 nucleotides) under Myroides odoratimimus. Its description in RNAcentral is "bacterial SSU rRNA". It matches the Rfam family "Bacterial small subunit ribosomal RNA", at positions 273 to 1354 of the family's 1533-position model. Lineage: Bacteria; Pseudomonadati; Bacteroidota; Flavobacteriia; Flavobacteriales; Flavobacteriaceae. The record is from RNAcentral.